Molecule: ribosomal RNA, 253 nt
Filed under: uncultured bacterium
Lineage: Bacteria
Description: partial 16S ribosomal RNA
Rfam family: Bacterial small subunit ribosomal RNA
Source: RNAcentral
UACGAAGGGGGCUAGCGUUGUUCGGAUUUACUGGGCGUAAAGCGCACGUAGGCGGAUCGAUCAGUCAGGGGUGAAAUCCCAGAGCUCAACUCUGGAACUGCCUUUGAUACUGUCGAUCUGGAGUAUGGAAGAGGUGAGUGGAAUUCCGAGUGUAGAGGUGAAAUGCGCAGAUAUCAGGAGGAACACCAAUGGCGAAGGCAGCUCGCUGGGACGUUACUGACACUAAGGCGCGAAAGCGUGGGGAGCGAACAGG